Molecule: ribosomal RNA, 253 nt
Filed under: uncultured bacterium
Lineage: Bacteria
Description: partial 16S ribosomal RNA
Rfam family: Bacterial small subunit ribosomal RNA
Source: RNAcentral
UACAGAGGUCUCAAGCGUUGUUCGGAUUCAUUGGGCGUAAAGGGUGCGUAGGUGGCGCUGUAAGUCGGGUGUGAAAUUUCGGAGCUCAACUCCGAAACUGCAUUCGAUACUGCGGUGCUUGAGGACUGGAGAGGAGACUGGAAUUCAUGGUGUAGCAGUGAAAUGCGUAGAGAUCAUGAGGAAGACCAGUGGCGAGGGCGGGUCUCUGGACAGUUCCUGACACUGAGGCACGAAGGCCAGGGGAGCAAACGGG